AGUUUGAUAGGUAAAUGGUAUACCCUUAUGUUACUGACAUGAUUUUAAUAAUUUAAGUCUGUUUCAAACUU
RNAcentral lists this transfer RNA (71 nucleotides) under Gonatophragmium mori. RNAcentral describes it as "tRNA-Ser". The record is from RNAcentral. Lineage: Eukaryota; Fungi; Ascomycota; Dothideomycetes; Acrospermales; Acrospermaceae.